AUCCUGGCUCAGGACGAACGCUGGCGGCGUGCCUAAUACAUGCAAGUCGAGCGGACAGAAGGGAGCUUGCUCCCGGAUGUUAGCGGCGGACGGGUGAGUAACACGUGGGUAACCUGCCUGUAAGACUGGGAUAACUCCGGGAAACCGGAGCUAAUACCGGAUAGUUCCUUGAACCGCAUGGUUCAAGGAUGAAAGACGGUUUCGGCUGUCACUUACAGAUGGACCCGCGGCGCAUUAGCUAGUUGGUGAGGUAACGGCUCACCAAGGCGACGAUGCGUAGCCGACCUGAGAGGGUGAUCGGCCACACUGGGACUGAGACACGGCCCAGACUCCUACGGGAGGCAGCAGUAGGGAAUCUUCCGCAAUGGACGAAAGUCUGACGGAGCAACGCCGCGUGAGUGAUGAAGGUUUUCGGAUCGUAAAGCUCUGUUGUUAGGGAAGAACAAGUGCAAGAGUAACUGCUUGCACCUUGACGGUACCUAACCAGAAAGCCACGGCUAACUACGUGCCAGCAGCCGCGGUAAUACGUAGGUGGCAAGCGUUGUCCGGAAUUAUUGGGCGUAAAGGGCUCGCAGGCGGUUUCUUAAGUCUGAUGUGAAAGCCCCCGGCUCAACCGGGGAGGGUCAUUGGAAACUGGGAAACUUGAGUGCAGAAGAGGAGAGUGGAAUUCCACGUGUAGCGGUGAAAUGCGUAGAGAUGUGGAGGAACACCAGUGGCGAAGGCGACUCUCUGGUCUGUAACUGACGCUGAGGAGCGAAAGCGUGGGGAGCGAACAGGAUUAGAUACCCUGGUAGUCCACGCCGUAAACGAUGAGUGCUAAGUGUUAGGGGGUUUCCGCCCCUUAGUGCUGCAGCUAACGCAUUAAGCACUCCGCCUGGGGAGUACGGUCGCAAGACUGAAACUCAAAGGAAUUGACGGGGGCCCGCACAAGCGGUGGAGCAUGUGGUUUAAUUCGAAGCAACGCGAAGAACCUUACCAGGUCUUGACAUCCUCUGACAACCCUAGAGAUAGGGCUUUCCCUUCGGGGACAGAGUGACAGGUGGUGCAUGGUUGUCGUCAGCUCGUGUCGUGAGAUGUUGGGUUAAGUCCCGCAACGAGCGCAACCCUUGAUCUUAGUUGCCAGCAUUCAGUUGGGCACUCUAAGGUGACUGCCGGUGACAAACCGGAGGAAGGUGGGGAUGACGUCAAAUCAUCAUGCCCCUUAUGACCUGGGCUACACACGUGCUACAAUGGACAGAACAAAGGGCUGCGAGACCGCAAGGUUUAGCCAAUCCCACAAAUCUGUUCUCAGUUCGGAUCGCAGUCUGCAACUCGACUGCGUGAAGCUGGAAUCGCUAGUAAUCGCGGAUCAGCAUGCCGCGGUGA
RNAcentral lists this ribosomal RNA (1365 nucleotides) under Bacillus stratosphericus. RNAcentral describes it as "bacterial SSU rRNA". It matches the Rfam family "Bacterial small subunit ribosomal RNA", at positions 16 to 1365 of the family's 1533-position model. The record is from RNAcentral. Lineage: Bacteria; Bacillati; Bacillota; Bacilli; Caryophanales; Bacillaceae.